This 299-nucleotide long non-coding RNA is filed under the name Nicotiana benthamiana. RNAcentral describes it as "long non-coding RNA (NBEN_LNC008585)". The record is from RNAcentral. Lineage: Eukaryota; Viridiplantae; Streptophyta; Magnoliopsida; Solanales; Solanaceae.
CUUAUCAAAGCGAGGGAUUCGUUUCAGGCGCAAUCAAAUCAGAAGCAAUUUCCGCUCUACCAUUAAUUGUUGCUAUUUCCGCACCCCUGUCCGGUGGUUUGAGAAAGAAAGUCGAGACAUUCAGAAAGAGAGUUAUGGCAUUUCUAGCAUUGAAAAUCCCUAUUCUUAUUGAAUAGUUCAAAUAACUAGUUGAAUAUACCUAUUACAUUUAGAUUGAGAGUUAUGGCAUUUCUAGCAUUGAAAUCCCUUCUUAUUGAAUUGUUCAAAUAACUAGUUGAAUAUACCUAUUCUUUUCAAGA